UACGGAGGGAGCUAGCGUUGUUCGGAAUUACUGGGCGUAAAGCGCACGUAGGCGGCUUUGUAAGUUAGAGGUGAAAGCCCGGGGCUCAACCCCGGAAUUGCCUUUAAGACUGCAUCGCUUGAAUCCGGGAGAGGUGAGUGGAAUUCCGAGUGUAGAGGUGAAAUUCGUAGAUAUUGGGAAGAACACCGGUGGCGAAGGCGGCGACCUGGUCCGAUACUGACGCUGAGGCGCGAAAGCGUGGGGAGCAAACAGG
RNAcentral lists this ribosomal RNA (253 nucleotides) under uncultured bacterium. RNAcentral's name for it is "partial 16S ribosomal RNA". It matches the Rfam family "Bacterial small subunit ribosomal RNA", at positions 524 to 776 of the family's 1533-position model. The record is from RNAcentral.